UCUCCGUAGGUGAACCUGCGGAGGGAUCAUUACAGAGUUCAUGCACUACCGGGUAGUUCCCCCACCUUAUGUUAUUAUUACUUUGUGGCUUUGGCCGGCCGCUAGCCUCCGGCCCCACUACCGGCCCCGGCUGGUAAGCGCCCGCCAGAAGACCCAAAACCCUGUUUAUCUGUGUCGUUUGAGUAUUAUAUAAUAGUUAAAACUUUCAACAACGGAUCUCUUGGUUCCG
This 229-nucleotide unclassified non-coding RNA is filed under the name plant metagenome. RNAcentral's name for it is "partial contains small subunit ribosomal RNA, internal transcribed spacer 1, and 5.8S ribosomal RNA". The record is from RNAcentral.